This 246-nucleotide ribosomal RNA is filed under the name uncultured bacterium. Its description in RNAcentral is "partial 16S ribosomal RNA". It matches the Rfam family "Bacterial small subunit ribosomal RNA", at positions 15 to 244 of the family's 1533-position model. The record is from RNAcentral.
GAUCAUGGCUCAGGACGAACGCUGGCGGCGUGCUUAACACAUGCAAGUCGAACGGGAUUUAGUAAACAGAAGCCUCGGUGGAAGAUUACUAAUGAGAGUGGCGAACGGGUGAGUAACGCGUGAGCAACCUGCCUAUGACAGUGGGAUAGCCUCGGGAAACCGGGAUUAAUACCGCAUAAAAUCGUAGAAACACAUGUUUUAACGGUCAAAGAUUUAUCGGUCAUAGAUGGGCUCGCGUCUGAUUAG